Gossypium raimondii (Peruvian cotton) is the source of this 1932-nucleotide long non-coding RNA. RefSeq lists it as uncharacterized. The record is from RefSeq and is a predicted model, not a curated record. Lineage: Eukaryota; Viridiplantae; Streptophyta; Magnoliopsida; Malvales; Malvaceae. The transcript is spliced from 2 exons.
UAAAUCAUUUUCCAGAAAUCAUUUUUCGGAAAACAUUUUACUGGCAAACAAACGGACUUUAAGUCUAUAUUUAAUUUGUCUUAGCUUUAUUAGAUAUUUAUUAAAGUGUUUAAAUAUGUUUUAAUUUGUCAUAGUCGAAUUUAAUAUUGGAUUCAAUGUUUUCUAGGUGCAGCUGAAUACAUGAAUGACAAUUAAAGCUUGGUGCAUGCAUGGCUGGAUGCAACGAAUAGAAAGGUUCAUGCAUGGUCAGCUACAAUGUAUGGUGUGCUGGUUAUUGGCCUUCCCAAGUACCUAUUAGGCCAAAGAGUAGCUAUCCAUUAACUUUCUCAAGUUGGCCGAACAAAUUCCCAUGAUGCUUCAAUGAGUUCACACCAGCCGAUUUUCCCAUUCACAUUUGUUGUUCAUUCGGUUUUGAGCUUUCACAUUCAAGUGACCUUUCAAGUUGGAAAUCACACUUCAGGUUUCUGAAGAAUUGAUUAAUAAGUUUCAUCUACUUUACCUCCCAAAGGAGAGAUAGUUCACAUUGGGUAGAGAAGGUAACAUUCUGAACGUCUCUAGUCCACCUAGGCCUAAAGGUAAGCAAGGUAAGGUUUCUAUAUCCUUUAAACAACCUUAUUCGAUUCAUAGUAAAAACAUUACUUAUGACAUGGGUUUUGGAAAAGAACUAUACCUUGAUGUGGUCGAUUUUAAUGAUGGCAAGGAAAAUUUUCCUAAUGAUAAUUUUUGCAUCGACCAGUAUGUGGAUGAAGUGAGAUUCAAUCAUCAUGAAUAUAUUUCGAGCUUGUGUAAUAAAAUGUUGCUAUGCAAAGUGCUUAGUUCAUAUGAAUGUGAUGAUGGUGUGACAGAUCUGCCUUGUCGUAUAAAUUUUGCAUGUUUGCGUAAGUUUGAAUGAGUGAGACUUGAGUUUUAUGAUUGUUUGAAUGAUUGUUUGAUCACAUCUUCUUUGAUUAACAUGAGUGGGACAUUGGAAAGUAAGAAACUCAUGUUGCCUGUUGAAUUGAGUGACCAAGCUUGUGUGUUCAAACCUGAAAUUUGUUGUUUUAGGUCGAUAUGUGGGGAACUCAAGCAUCCUAAAUUUUGUGCGACCAAUUUAUGUUUGUUUGAUGCUUGGCCUUUGGCUAAGGAAACAAAAUUUAAAGAUUCUUUUUAUAACUUAAAAUCGAUCCUUGUUUAAUCUAUGUUGCUGGUUACUAAAUUCUUGAUUCAUCAUGAAAUGGUAAGAUACAUCGAUGAUAUUAAAAUAAGGUAAUUAAAGUUGCAUGCUGUUGAGACAGUGGCUAGUGACAUAGCUUUCGAAAGACCUUUUUAUUUUGCUUUGGUUAACUGUUAUUCUCUGUUUGUGGUUGACAAUUUUGUUGUAAAUGGAGGCAUGAAGAAUUGUUUACUAGAUGUGCUCUGCUUUGAAAAAUCUGUUGAUGAUGUUGGAUUGAUUCAGCAUAUAUAAACUUUGCACGUGUGUGCUACGGGUUAUUCACAUGAAAAACUUGAUUUGUUUGAUUAUGAUAGUUUUGUGGAGCCCUCAAAUUCUUGUGCAAAAUCCUCUUGCCUAAGCAUGUCUUCUCGGAUGAAAUGUGACAAGUUUGACUAUUUGAAUGGUUGUUUGCUCAUUUCUUCUUUGUUUCGCAUAUGUGAGUUGUUGAAGAAAGAAAGGCCUUUGCUGCUCUUAACCAUGAACGACCAAAAUCAUAUAUUCAAACCUGGUGCAGGUUUUCUUGAAUUAUUGCCAAGUAAAGGUCAACAUCAAAAUUUUGAAUUUGUAGGUUGUUCGAUGCUAAGCCUUAAGGGAUUCGAACAUGAUAUGUAUUCUUAUAACUUUAGUUUGUUUUGCUUUUCUACCCUGUUGUCCGUCGAGAAGAAUGUAAGUCAGUGAGAAAUGGUAAGAGAAAACUGUCUUUGAUCCCGAUGAAUAUUAUGCCAUAUCAUUGUACAAAA